RNAcentral lists this ribosomal RNA (460 nucleotides) under uncultured bacterium. RNAcentral's name for it is "partial 16S ribosomal RNA". It matches the Rfam family "Bacterial small subunit ribosomal RNA", at positions 28 to 507 of the family's 1533-position model. The record is from RNAcentral.
GACGAACGCUGGCGGCGUGCUUAAUACAUGCAAGUCGAGCGGUAAGGCCUCUUCGGGGGUACACGAGCGGCGAACGGGUGAGUAACACGUGGGUGACCUGCCCCCAGCUCUGGGAUAAGCCUGGGAAACUGGGUCUAAUACCGGAUAUGACCUUUCCUCGCAUGGGGUUUGGUGGAAAGUUUUUUCGGCUGGGGAUGGGCCCGCGGCCUAUCAGCUUGUUGGUGGGGUGAUGGCCUACCAAGGCGACGACGGGUAGCCGGCCUGAGAGGGCGACCGGCCACACUGGGACUGAGACACGGCCCAGACUCCUACGGGAGGCAGCAGUGGGGAAUAUUGCGCAAUGGGCGGAAGCCUGACGCAGCGACGCAGCGUGGGGGAUGACGGCCUUCGGGUUGUAAACCUCUUUCGACCCCGACGAAUUUGGACGGUAGGGGUAGAAGAAGCACCGGCCAACUACGUG